Non-coding RNA from Ciona intestinalis (vase tunicate), 1734 nucleotides. NCBI's taxonomy places the organism in Eukaryota, Metazoa, Chordata, Ascidiacea, Phlebobranchia, Cionidae. The record is from RefSeq and is a predicted model, not a curated record.
UAGUGAGAAAUCAUGUUUAUGGCUGGUUAUGUGUAGUGGAUAUGAACUAAGAUGCAGAUGAUAAAACACCAAUUUUCUGUUUACCACAUGUAACCAAUAGAGGUCAAGAUGGCUGCAGUCCAUUCCCAGGAACAACAUAUUGUGUGUCCACAAAAGUUUGUUUCCAACCGCUUAAACAAACAUUUCUUCCUUCCUCCCAUAAUUUCAUUUGUAAUUUUGUCAUCAUCCAGUCCAGGAAGAUAUACCCAGUGUACCUUUAUUUGCCAUCAAAAUUUAUAUAGCCUUUAUAAUUAUAAAUUUUUCUUUGGCUGGCCUGGCUGGCAGAUGGCCAAGAAUAGCACAGGCAGUUUAUUAUCCUGUUAAUGUUGUGGCAAGCCGUACAUUCUUCUCACAGAAAUUCAAAUGCAACUGGCAAUUAGGCAAACUAUAUACAUGCAGAAUUUAUACAUCAGCAUGGUCUUGGUAAACAUGGAAAUUAAACUUGUGUAGUAAAGUGUUUUUUUGCAUACUAGCUUUUAAAAAAGGAAAGAUUAGAAUUGUAAUGGACGUUGAAAAAAUAAUUGAGUUGGUUCGAGAAAAACCACACCUGUCGGAUGCCAAACAUCCAGAUCACAAGAACAAAUCAAAUACAUACUAGAAAAUUCAUGGAAAAGUAUUUCCGAGCAGUUUGAAAACCAUACAAGUAAGUAGAAUCUAUGCCCCGAUUAUUGUACAUAUGGAAAUGUUAAUAAAAUUAGUUUAAUAUUGUAGGGAUGGAUAUAAGAAACAAAUGGAGAAAUAAAUAUUCGUGAUACCUAUUUCAAAAAGAAAAAAGGGUUAAAGACGCAAUCAAAAGUGGUGCUGGUUCGGAUGCGGUUUUGAAGCUGCAGAACUGGAGAUGGUUUAGCCUAUUGAGUUAGCUUGAUGAUAGCCUGCGACAUGAAGCAACUGAAAGCAACUUUAUAGUUGCAACUUUUGAUCCAAAAGACAUUGGUUGCGAAGAUGGAGGUGAGAAACAGCAUCUUACAGUGGUUAUAAUUAAUAAAAUAAUAUGAUUGUGUUGUUUGAUUUAGUACAAAAGGCUGGAUUCUGACAGCUAUGAACUGAACUUAACUUCUGUAAGUGAGUCGGUAAACCUAAAUGUAGUCAUAGUUGUCAGUCUACCAGUAACAAGACAGUUGGAUUAUGUACUUCGGAAGUGGAACCAAUACUUAGUCCAAAACGACGGUAUUGGAGAAAGAGAUUUUCACCCAAAAAGAAAAGAAGAACUGAUACUUCAUUGCAGGAAGUUAUGAUGCAAUCAUUAUCCGAUAACAGCUUACUGAUGAGAAAUGUUAUUCAACCUCCAAGUUUAUGUGAAAAUUUUGGCACGGUUAUUGGCCAAAGAUUGGAGGCAUUGGGAGAUGUGAAGGCACGAAAAGCUUUUUAUAAAAUGUGUGCUGUAUUAAAUGAAUUCGAAUCGGAAGAUAGUAUUCAAAAGUAGCUACUUAAAUUCAAUACCUCAUUACUAAGUAGGACUGUGUUUUUUUCUAUUUUGUGUUCGCGUUCCCUUUAUAUGUUUUCAGUGUGAUCCGAUAACUUAUUUCGUUUAUUCUAUCGUUCUGUUUAUUUUUUGUGUUCAUCUGAAGCAGCGGUUCCCAACCUUUUGUGCCGUGACCCUUUUAUAAAACAUUUGCCAAGUUGCGGUGACCCCAAGGAUAAAAUUAGUUGGGUUCUCCUUCACUGCACUUUUGGAGCUAACUAGUAGGCUAUAUA